GGGGGCGUCACGGUUUCGACGGGAACAGCGACCCCGGGCGAUGCAGGCGGAGCGUGCUACCGGCUCCUAAAUGCGGUGGAAAGUCACAACUGCCAACGAUAACUUGGCAUUGGCUGCCUAACUAAACCCUAGUCAGCCCGUCCUCCCGGUGGCCCGCCCACGGCGGCCGGAAAGGGCGUCAUCAAGGUGGGCUGGCCCUUAGCUCUCGGUCCGGGGGCGACGGGUGAGAUCAAUCGGACUAGCCUUUGCCGGUUUCGUCCGACCUACACGGCGAAGGCGAAAUUUCAGGUCGGGCUAAGCCUGUAGGAUCUCCCGUAGGCGUGCUUCCGGACGUGGGUUCGACUCCCACCGCCUCCACCA
This 360-nucleotide transfer-messenger RNA is filed under the name Vicinamibacteria. RNAcentral describes it as "AA29 sp003222295 Standard tmRNA". It matches the Rfam family "transfer-messenger RNA". From Rfam's summary of the family: Bacterial tmRNA, also known as 10Sa RNA or SsrA, is named for its dual tRNA and mRNA-like properties. Its role is to liberate the mRNA from a stalled ribosome. RNAcentral also lists the same sequence under 3 other names. Lineage: Bacteria; Pseudomonadati; Acidobacteriota. The record is from RNAcentral.